Molecule: long non-coding RNA, 606 nt
Filed under: Heterocephalus glaber (naked mole-rat)
Lineage: Eukaryota; Metazoa; Chordata; Mammalia; Rodentia; Bathyergidae
Description: lncRNA (ENSHGLG00000038532.1)
Source: RNAcentral
UACCAAAGAUUAAACCCAGCGACUAGGACAUGCUGGGCAAGCCCUCUACACCUGAGCUACGCUCCAGAACUUUUUAUUUGAGACAGGAUCUCUAAAUUGCCCAGGCUGCCCUUGAAUUUGAGCCGCUUCCAUGUCAGCCCUCCAAGCAGCUGGGACUGCAGGUGUGCACCAGCACAGCUGGCUUUAAGCAUCUUGCCUGGUAAAUGCUGUAGACAGCCUAGCAGCUCCUUUGGAACAUAGCAUUUAUUUUAAACUUAGUAGCUGAGUCAAACCAGUAAUAUGACAUUUACGGCAUGAUUAAUAGGAAAAAAGAAACCGGGGAAACACUAUGUGCUUAACAAUAUUGGUUCAAUAAAUGAGAGGACAUUCAGACCGUAUGAAGAACAGGAGCGGGUGUCCAAGAUGUAUCAUGAUGUUUCUGGUUCUAUGUGCUAGAAACUGGAAUCCACUGCUUCUAAGAUCACACAGUCAUUUCAAGUUACGAUUAUGAAGAUCAACGAAGCAACAUGGAAAAAUCUUAUGAUGUAAAGCGAAGAAUGCAGGACUCCAAGUGAGUAUAAGCAUUGUACUCUCAGCUGUGUCAAGAUAUGCAAAUAAAAGAGAAGG